This 264-nucleotide ribosomal RNA is filed under the name Hydraenida ocellata. RNAcentral describes it as "partial large subunit ribosomal RNA". It matches the Rfam family "Eukaryotic large subunit ribosomal RNA", at positions 940 to 1180 of the family's 3401-position model. Lineage: Eukaryota; Metazoa; Arthropoda; Insecta; Coleoptera; Hydraenidae. The record is from RNAcentral.
CCAUCUAGUAGCUGGUUUUCUCCAAAGUUUCCCCCAGGAUAGCUGGCGCUCAUNCGNUUCGCGAGUCUCAUCCGGUAAAGCGAAUGAUUAGAGGCAUUGGGGUCGAAACGGCCUCAAUCUAUUCUCAAACUUUAAAUUGGUGAGAUCUCCGGUUUGCUCAAACNACUCGUNNNNNUGAAGCCGCGAGAUUUCGGAUCANNGAGUGACAAGUGGGCCACUUUUGGUAAGCAGAACUGGCGCUGUNGGAUGAACCAAACGCCGAGU